GUGGCUGUAGCUCAGUUGGUAGAGCCCUGGAUUGUGAUUCCAGUUGUCGUGGGUUCGAGCCCCAUCAGUCACC
RNAcentral lists this transfer RNA (73 nucleotides) under Methylovorus sp. MM2. RNAcentral's name for it is "Methylovorus sp. MM1 tRNA". It matches the Rfam family "tRNA". Rfam says of the family: Transfer RNA (tRNA) molecules are approximately 80 nucleotides in length. The record is from Rfam by way of RNAcentral. Lineage: Bacteria; Pseudomonadati; Pseudomonadota; Betaproteobacteria; Nitrosomonadales; Methylophilaceae.